Molecule: long non-coding RNA, 423 nt
Filed under: Crocodylus porosus (Australian saltwater crocodile)
Lineage: Eukaryota; Metazoa; Chordata; Crocodylia; Crocodylidae
Description: lncRNA (ENSCPRG00005000856.1)
Source: RNAcentral
UGGACCAUUCUCUGGGGCUUACAAAGAAGAGGUUGAAGCCUGAAAAUAAGAAUACUCAGAGCUAUGUGGAGUCCCUGCAGAAGAUUUAUCAAAUGGGAAGUUGGAAGGGUACCACACGAGUGCAGUUGCUGCCAGGAAUCUUCCAGUGGCUAGGACGUAUUGUGGACUGUGGUUUUUAUGGCUGUGGACUGACAAUACAGUUAAACAGAUAUCAGUGUGGAGGAGAAGGAAUUUGCCAGUCAUGCAGACAUGACAGUUGAUCACAGCUACUGUAUGUGUGCUCCUGUCCCACAGAAAGUGAGGCUUGGGGCAGGUACAACAGGUACAAAUGAAAUAGCUGCUGAAUUAUCACAGAUGUCUUCUGGUGUGAUGUGUACAUUGUACAAGCCAUAUUCUACAUAUACAAUUGGUCAAAUGCUGUGA